AUUGAACGCUGGCGGCAGGCCUAACACAUGCAAGUCGAACGGUAACAGGAAGCAGCUUGCUGCUUUGCUGACGAGUGGCGGACGGGUGAGUAAUGUCUGGGAAACUGCCUGAUGGAGGGGGAUAACUACUGGAAACGGUAGCUAAUACCGCAUAACGUCGCAAGACCAAAGAGGGGGACCUUCGGGCCUCUUGCCAUCGGAUGUGCCCAGAUGGGAUUAGCUAGUAGGUGGGGUAACGGCUCACCUAGGCGACGAUCCCUAGCUGGUCUGACAGGAUGAGCAGCCACACUGGAACUGAGACACGGUCCAGAAUCCUACGGGAGGCAGCAGUGGGGAAUAUUGCACAAUGGGCGCAAGCCUGAUGCAGCAAUGCCGCGUGUAUGAAGAAGGCCUUCGGGUUGUAAAGUACUUUCAGCGGGGAGGAAGGGAGUAAAGUUAAUACCUUUGCUCAUUGACGUUACCCGCAGAAGAAGCACCGGCUAACUCCGUG
Molecule: ribosomal RNA, 490 nt
Filed under: uncultured bacterium
Lineage: Bacteria
Description: partial 16S ribosomal RNA
Rfam family: Bacterial small subunit ribosomal RNA
Source: RNAcentral